RNAcentral lists this ribosomal RNA (497 nucleotides) under uncultured bacterium. RNAcentral describes it as "partial 16S ribosomal RNA". It matches the Rfam family "Bacterial small subunit ribosomal RNA", at positions 28 to 507 of the family's 1533-position model. The record is from RNAcentral.
GAUGAACGCUGGCGGCGUGCCUAAUACAUGCAAGUCGAGCGAACAGACGCGGAGCUUGCUCCUCUGACGUUAGCGGCGGACGGGUGAGUAACACGUGGAUAACCUACCUAUAAGACUGGGAUAACUUCGGGAAACCGGAGCUAAUACCGGAUAACAUGUUGAACCGCAUGGUUCAACAGUGAAAGACGGUCUUGCUGUCACUUAUCGAUGUAUCCGCGCCGCAUUAGCUAGUUGGUAAGGUAACGGCUUACCAAGGCAACGAUGCGUAGCCGACCUGGGAGGGGGGUAGGCGACACUGGAGCGUGGACGGCGACCAGGGGCCUGCGAGAGGGAGCAGUAGGGAACGGGCGGCAGUAGGGGGAAGCAUGGCGGAGUGGGGGCAAGCGAGUGGAGGAGGUGUUGGGAGCGUAAUGCUGGGUUACGAGUGGAGAACAAAUGUGUAAGUAACUGAACGCGUCUUGACGGUAGCUAGUGAGAAAGCCACGGCUAACUACGUG